GGUUAAAACAGAGUUCGUCUACAAGUAUUGUAUUGCUGAUUUGUUGCACUUUAUUUCGGGGUCAGCCUUCAAGUGUCUCCAGUUGGUCCAAAACGCUGCUGCUUGCCUCCUAGCUGGAGCUUGUAUACGGAAGCACAUAACUCCACUUCUGGCCUACCUUGACUGGCUCCCUGUAUGUACACUUUACAGUAGAUUAUUUUUUUGGUCUUGAAAUCGUUAAUUCACAGGUGUCAAACGCAAGGCCCGGGGGCCAGAUAUGGCCCACCACAUCAUUUAAUCUGGCCCGAGAAAGCAAAUCAAACAUGUCAACUUCUAUGAUGAUUGCUAAAAUCUGUACCAAAAUUUCUAAUUCUCAUAUGUAAUAAAUAAGCGAGAUAUUGUAAGAUGUUCUUGUUACCAAAACCCUCAUUACAGUAGUUGACUUCUUUGUAUGGUUUCACAGUCAUUAUGGCCCUCCAAGGGAAACUGUCACUAAAUGUGGCCUGCGACAAAAAUGAAUUUGACACCCCUCCUUGAAUUGGUCUCACCCCACCUUCCCUCUCUGAGCCUGUCUACCUCUACACACCUCCCCAGUGCCUCAGUCGCUAACCUGAUGAGCCCACCACACCAUAAGAUAAGAGAAGAUGGCGAUCCACAAAAUGGAGCCCAGGAAGUAUUCGACUGCGGUGACCUGUUUGCGGACAUCAGGGAUGGUGAGCCACAAAGGAAAGACGAUGGGCAGCAAGAAGAGGUAAGUGACUUGUUUCCGCCGCGUGUCGGGCCAUUCUAAAGACAGAGGCUCCUCCUCGUUCUCCUCAUCUUCGCCGGAGUCAUUGUCGCUGUCAUCUUCAUCACUGUCAUCUUCAUCACUGUCCUCCUCGCCGCUGCUUGACUCGUCUGACCCGUCUCCCCCUGAGGGCUGGUCUUCCUGCAUGUUCACCUUACAUAGAAAGGUAUCAAAGAUUGACUUCUGGGCUUUUUGACAUGCUUGAUGGUGAGUGUACCUUGUCAUCGUCAGGUGGCUCCUUCUUCUCAGUUUCGCCUGUCGUAGCGGCUUGGUCCUCUUCGGCCUGCUCCUUCCCACUGUCUCCAUCUAACAAGUACCUCAUACGUUUCUACUGCUCAGCUCUUUGUGAGAGGCAGUGUGAUACAUUGAAAAGAGUAUGAUUCACGUCCUAUUAAUCUUGCAUUAUUCCACCGUGUAGUCCGCAAGGCACCAAUUAUAUCUCCUUAUUUAUUUGAAAGGGACGGCACAAUUUAACCCUUUCACGCACCCUCUAACCUGAUAACAUCAGCUGUCCACUGUCGUAACCGCUGUCCCUGAAAGGGUUAAAAUCAUGACCAUGAUACCCAACAGGUGAGCUUCAAACUGACAUAUCAAUGUUGAAUUUAACGAAGGUUUGGGAGGUGCUCGUCCUCUUGCUGACUUACAUUGAAAGUGCCCUUGAGCAAAGCUGCGUGUACAAUAGAAUGUGUAUUUGCGAGUUACCUUCACUCUUUGCUGCAACGUCACCUUCAGCCUUCCGUCUCACCACAUUAUUCAGAUUCUCAGCCUUGUCCUUGAAUUUGCCUGCAAGCGUUCACACCAGCACAAAGAAACAGCCGACAGCGUUCAUCGGUGUAUCGACAUUGUCGAACAGUCAAUUGCAGAGUGAUGGAGGAACAGUAGGCCGUUCAACACAACUCAACAACUUUCAAAAUAAAGGAGGGCAUAGACAAGACCAGGGGUGGGUAAAAACUAAGACCCACGGGCCUUUUUAAUCCGGCCCGCCAAAGAUUGGUGCACAAUUAAGGUUUGAUUGCAUUCAUUUCCUUUGGACUUGUAAUGACAGGUAUUUCAACACCAGGUGGCGCAGUUACUUCAAGUUGCAGAGCACAGGGAGGGAGGGGAAGACGAAGAAGGAGGGAGAGAGUAAUGACCAUAGAAGGGAAAGUGAUAUGUAUCUGAUUAAACGAAGCGGGUAACAAAGUACGAAACAUUCAGGAGACGCCUGGAGUCGGAAAGACUCAAAUCUACGAGACUUUGAAAAACAAGGAAGCGAUUCUUACUCAGUCCGAUUCUGGCAAUUUCCACGCUCAGAGUGAAUUGCUUGUGGCUCGAGUAAAUGAACAUUUCCUAGAAUGGUUU
Long non-coding RNA from Hippocampus zosterae (dwarf seahorse), 2107 nucleotides. RefSeq lists it as uncharacterized. The record is from RefSeq and is a predicted model, not a curated record. The transcript has 3 exons. NCBI's taxonomy places the organism in Eukaryota, Metazoa, Chordata, Actinopteri, Syngnathiformes, Syngnathidae.